Molecule: ribosomal RNA, 253 nt
Filed under: uncultured bacterium
Lineage: Bacteria
Description: partial 16S ribosomal RNA
Rfam family: Bacterial small subunit ribosomal RNA
Source: RNAcentral
UACGAAGGGGGCUAGCGUUGCUCGGAAUUAUUGGGCGUAAAGAGCUCGUAGGCGGCUUGUCACGUCGGGUGUGAAAGCCCGGGGCUUAACCCCGGGUCUGCAUUCGAUACGGGCUAGCUAGAGUGUGGUAGGGGAGAUCGGAAUUCCUGGUGUAGCGGUGAAAUGCGCAGAUAUCAGGAGGAACACCGGUGGCGAAGGCGGAUCUCUGGGCCAUUACUGACGCUGAGGAGCGAAAGCGUGGGGAGCGAACAGG